RNAcentral lists this ribosomal RNA (2934 nucleotides) under Pectobacterium brasiliense. RNAcentral describes it as "23S ribosomal RNA". It matches the Rfam family "Bacterial large subunit ribosomal RNA". The record is from RNAcentral. Lineage: Bacteria; Pseudomonadati; Pseudomonadota; Gammaproteobacteria; Enterobacterales; Pectobacteriaceae.
GGGUUGUGAGGUUAAGCGACUAAGCGUACACGGUGGAUGCCUAGGCAGUCAGAGGCGAUGAAGGGCGUGCUAAUCUGCGAUAAGCGUCGGUAAGCUGAUAUGAAGCGUUAUACCCGACGAUACCCGAAUGGGGAAACCCAGUGUGUUUCGACACACUAUCAUGACAUGAAUACAUAGUGUCAUGAGGCGAACCGGGGGAACUGAAACAUCUCAGUACCCCGAGGAAAAGAAAUCAACCGAGAUUCCCCCAGUAGCGGCGAGCGAACGGGGAGGAGCCCAGAACCUGAAUCAGUUUGUGUGUUAGUGGAAGCGUCUGGAAAGUCGCACAGUAAAGGGUGAUAGUCCCGUACACAAAAAUGCACAGAUUGUGAGUUCGAUGAGUAGGGCGGGACACGUGACAUCCUGUCUGAAUAUGGGGGGACCAUCCUCCAAGGCUAAAUACUCCUGACUGACCGAUAGUGAACCAGUACCGUGAGGGAAAGGCGAAAAGAACCCCGGCGAGGGGAGUGAAAUAGAACCUGAAACCGUGUACGUACAAGCAGUGGGAGCCUACUUGUUAGGUGACUGCGUACCUUUUGUAUAAUGGGUCAGCGACUUAUAUUCUGUAGCAAGGUUAACCGUAUAGGGGAGCCGCAGGGAAACCGAGUCUUAACUGGGCGUUAAGUUGCAGGGUAUAGACCCGAAACCCGGUGAUCUAGCCAUGGGCAGGUUGAAGGUUGGGUAACACUAACUGGAGGACCGAACCGACUAAUGUUGAAAAAUUAGCGGAUGACUUGUGGCUGGGGGUGAAAGGCCAAUCAAACCGGGAGAUAGCUGGUUCUCCCCGAAAGCUAUUUAGGUAGCGCCUCGUGAAUUCAUCUUCGGGGGUAGAGCACUGUUUCGGCUAGGGGGUCAUCCCGACUUACCAACCCGAUGCAAACUACGAAUACCGAAGAAUGUUAUCACGGGAGACACACGGCGGGUGCUAACGUUCGUCGUGAAGAGGGAAACAACCCAGACCGCCAGCUAAGGUCCCAAAGUCAUGGUUAAGUGGGAAACGAUGUGGGAAGGCACAGACAGCCAGGAUGUUGGCUUAGAAGCAGCCAUCAUUUAAAGAAAGCGUAAUAGCUCACUGGUCGAGUCGGCCUGCGCGGAAGAUGUAACGGGGCUAAACCAUGCACCGAAGCUGCGGCAGCGACACUUAGGUGUUGUUGGGUAGGGGAGCGUUCUGUAAGCCUGCGAAGGUGGCCUGUGAGGGCUGCUGGAGGUAUCAGAAGUGCGAAUGCUGACAUAAGUAACGAUAAUGCGGGUGAAAAACCCGCACGCCGGAAGACCAAGGGUUCCUGUCCAACGUUAAUCGGGGCAGGGUGAGUCGACCCCUAAGGCGAGGCUGAAAAGCGUAGUCGAUGGGAAACAGGUUAAUAUUCCUGUACUCGGUGUUACUGCGAAGGGGGGACGGAGAAAGCUAGGUUAUCCGGGCGACGGUUGUCCCGGUUUAAGCGUGAAGGUGGGUGACUUUGGUAAAUCCGGGUCAUCAUUAACACUGAGGCGUGAUGACGAGUCACUACGGUGAUGAAGUAACCGAUGCUACGCUUCCAGGAAAAGCCUCUAAGCUCCAGGUAACAUCAAAUCGUACCCCAAACCGACACAGGUGGUCAGGUAGAGAAUACUCAGGCGCUUGAGAGAACUCGGGUGAAGGAACUAGGCAAAAUGGUGCCGUAACUUCGGGAGAAGGCACGCUGAUGGUAGGUGAAGUGACUUGCUCAUGGAGCUGAAAUCAGUCGAAGAUACCAGCUGGCUGCAACUGUUUAAUAAAAACACAGCACUGUGCAAACACGAAAGUGGACGUAUACGGUGUGACGCCUGCCCGGUGCCGGAAGGUUAAUUGAUGGGGUCAGCCGCAAGGCGAAGCUCUUGAUCGAAGCCCCGGUAAACGGCGGCCGUAACUAUAACGGUCCUAAGGUAGCGAAAUUCCUUGUCGGGUAAGUUCCGACCUGCACGAAUGGCGUAAUGAUGGCCAGGCUGUCUCCACCCGAGACUCAGUGAAAUUGAACUCGCUGUGAAGAUGCAGUGUACCCGCGGCAAGACGGAAAGACCCCGUGAACCUUUACUAUAGCUUGACACUGAACCUUGAGCCUUGAUGUGUAGGAUAGGUGGGAGGCUUUGAAGCGUGGACGCCAGUCUGCGUGGAGCCAACCUUGAAAUACCACCCUUUAAUGUUUGAUGUUCUAACGUGGACCCGUGAUCCGGGUUGCGGACAGUGUCUGGUGGGUAGUUUGACUGGGGCGGUCUCCUCCCAAAGCGUAACGGAGGAGCACGAAGGUUAGCUAAUCCUGGUCGGACAUCAGGAGGUUAGUGCAAAGGCAUAAGCUAGCUUGACUGCGAGAGUGACAGCUCGAGCAGGUGCGAAAGCAGGUCUUAGUGAUCCGGUGGUUCUGAAUGGAAGGGCCAUCGCUCAACGGAUAAAAGGUACUCCGGGGAUAACAGGCUGAUACCGCCCAAGAGUUCAUAUCGACGGCGGUGUUUGGCACCUCGAUGUCGGCUCAUCACAUCCUGGGGCUGAAGUAGGUCCCAAGGGUAUGGCUGUUCGCCAUUUAAAGUGGUACGCGAGCUGGGUUUAGAACGUCGUGAGACAGUUCGGUCCCUAUCUGCCGUGGGCGUUGGAAGAUUGAGAGGGGUUGCUCCUAGUACGAGAGGACCGGAGUGAACGCACCACUGGUGUACGGGUUGUGAUGCCAAUUGCAUUGCCCGGUAGCUAAGUGCGGAAGAGAUAACCGCUGAAAGCAUCUAAGCGGGAAACUUGCCUCGAGAUGAGUCUUCCCUGGGCACUUGAUGCCCCUGAAGGGCCGUUGAAGACGACGACGUAGAUAGGCUGGGUGUGUAAGCGUAGCGAUACGUUGAGCUAACCAGUACUAAUGACCCGAGAGGCUUAACCUUACAACACCGAAGGUGUUU